CGAUGAUUAAGGACAAGUCAUCUGACAAUGUGUGGGAGAAUGUGUCAAGGAAGCUCAUGAAGAGGCUCUCUAACGUGAAAAGUCCUGUGAAAUCCAAGGGUCCACCUGUUAAAGUACAACGUCGAAAUGAAGAUGCUGAUGACAGUAGUGAUUGGGACUCCAGUGCAUCAACUGUCAUCUUGGAAAGAUCACCAGCCAGUACAAGCACCCCAAAACGACUGAGGGACAACAAUGAUGAACCAUCCACAGGUUCAGGAGACUUAUUGGACAGUGAAAAAAGCCAGGCAAGACACUAUCGUACCCUCCAGGAUAUGUACAAGUCUAAGAAGCCGAACAAAGCUGCGGUUUCUCAUCUUCUUGAUUUGGAAUUCCAGUCCCGUAGACAAUUAAU
Clupea harengus (Atlantic herring) is the source of this 391-nucleotide long non-coding RNA. RefSeq lists it as uncharacterized. The transcript has 3 exons. The record is from RefSeq and is a predicted model, not a curated record. NCBI's taxonomy places the organism in Eukaryota, Metazoa, Chordata, Actinopteri, Clupeiformes, Clupeidae.